RNAcentral lists this long non-coding RNA (283 nucleotides) under Elaeis guineensis (African oil palm). RNAcentral's name for it is "long non-coding RNA (EGUI_LNC026807)". Lineage: Eukaryota; Viridiplantae; Streptophyta; Magnoliopsida; Arecales; Arecaceae. The record is from RNAcentral.
AUCCAUUUCUCUUCCAUGUCGGCUCCCUCCACCUCCUUUCUUUCUCUUCAUCCUCCUCUAAGCUGCUUAUAAAUCUAUCCCUCCAUGGCAUUCUCCUCUACCUCUAUUCUUUUCCGUCGGCAAUUCAUCUUCCCCUCCCCUUCCUCUUCAUUCUCUUUUCUUCCUUGUCCUCUUUCUCCUUCUUCAAUCUAUUCCUCGUUGGCCAUCCUUCUCUCCUCCCAUUCCUCCUUAUCUACUCUUUCUCCUCAUCCUCUUCCUUCUCCAAACCUCCUCCAUAAAUGAG